UACGUAGGGUGCAAGCGUUAAUCGGAAUUACUGGGCGUAAAGCGUGCGCAGGCGGUUGUGCAAGACAGGUGUGAAAUCCCCGGGCUUAACCUGGGAACUGCACUUGUGACUGCACGGCUGGAGUACGGCAGAGGGGGAUGGAAUUCCGCGUGUAGCAGUGAAAUGCGUAGAUAUGCGGAGGAACACCGAUGGCGAAGGCAAUCCCCUGGGCCUGUACUGACGCUCAUGCACGAAAGCGUGGGGAGCAAACAGGAUUAGAAACCCCAGUAGUCC
RNAcentral lists this ribosomal RNA (273 nucleotides) under uncultured prokaryote. RNAcentral's name for it is "partial 16S ribosomal RNA". It matches the Rfam family "Bacterial small subunit ribosomal RNA", at positions 524 to 796 of the family's 1533-position model. The record is from RNAcentral.